AUGGGCCAGGCCCAACAUACACAACUCUCCCUUGGAGACCAUUCAUCUAAACAUGACAGUGCAAGACUAAAAGAUCAUAGAGCAUGUAGGCCGUCGGAUCUCAGGCCAGAUCGCCAUGGACCGUCUGAUAUUUACCCGAUCGUCCUGGGCCGUCGGAUAAAAUUCCAAUGGCAACAGAAUGUAAAUACCAUGCCCCCACCAGGACAUUCCGAUCAUUUCGCGUCGUGGGGUAUAAAAGGGGGGCGCUCCUGUGGUGAAGACCUAGCCGCCUCCUCCUCUCUCCCUCCCUCCCGCGCCCGCCUCUCUCUCUCCCUCCCGCGCCCCUUCCUGCCCCGCCGUCGCCGUCGCCGCUCCCCGCACUCGCUCCUCCUCCCCCCGCAUCUCCCUCCCUCCCACGCAGCCGCCUCUCUCCCUCGGGCACACUGGGGCAGGGGGUCUCUCCGGGGACGACAGGGCUGCCGGCCGGAGUUGGAUCGAGAUCCCGGCCCGCAUCGCGCCUUGACAAAGCAGCAGGCCAAGGCGGCGCUGCCCUUCUCCGCCCUGUGCGUGCGGAUAUCCAGCAACUACUACCCCAACCUCGGCGCCCUCCGCAACGCCUCCCACGUCAGCCUCACCGACGCCGCAUACGUCGAGAUCUCCGAGGGCGACUUCUGA
Molecule: ribosomal RNA, 654 nt
Filed under: Triticum aestivum (bread wheat)
Lineage: Eukaryota; Viridiplantae; Streptophyta; Magnoliopsida; Poales; Poaceae
Description: partial small subunit ribosomal RNA
Source: RNAcentral